Molecule: unclassified non-coding RNA, 510 nt
Filed under: Xylella fastidiosa
Lineage: Bacteria; Pseudomonadati; Pseudomonadota; Gammaproteobacteria; Lysobacterales; Lysobacteraceae
Description: partial miscellaneous RNA
Rfam family: tRNA (bases 136-208)
Source: RNAcentral
UAUCGGAAGUGCGGCUGGAUCACUCCUUUUGAGUAUGGUGAAUAUAAUUGUCUUAUCAGGCGUCCUCACAAGUUACUUGCAUUCAGGGUUUGAUGUUGGCAUAGGUUUGGGUUUAUGUUGGCGAUUUUUGUUCUGGGGGCCUUAGCUCAGCUGGUAGAGCACCUGCUUUGCAAGCAGGGGGUCGUCGGUUCGAUCCCGACAGGCUCCACCAUGAAAGUAUUUAUGGGUCUGUAGCUCAGGUGGUUAGAGCGCACCCCUGAUAAGGGUGAGGUCGGUGGUUCGAGUCCUCCCAGACCCACCAAUGUUAUAUCAAUUAUUCUGAAUGUGGUUUGCGCAUUUUUUAUGCUUAUUAGCCUUGGAGCUGUGAAGCGUUCUUUUAUAAUUUGAUGAUGUAGCAAGCGUUUGAACUUUUUAUUAAUAAUUUCUCAUUGGAAGCCUUAAGUGACAAUGUUUAUCCAUUGUCUUGUAGAUUUUGAGGCGACUUUGGGUUAUAUGUCAAGCGAAUAACCC